RNAcentral lists this long non-coding RNA (258 nucleotides) under Gallus gallus (chicken). The record is from RNAcentral. Lineage: Eukaryota; Metazoa; Chordata; Aves; Galliformes; Phasianidae.
GAGACAUGCUGAUUGGUGAUACAUCACCUGAUGUCAUGUAGCCCCGCGACGCCUGCGAGAUGAAAGCCGGCGGGAAGUGUUUGUGCAGCCGGUAGUCCUUCUCGCUGCGGGACCGCAUGCGGUCGGAGGCCCGGUCGGAGAAGUCGGAGCUAGGCCAGGCCCGCCGCAAGGUCGUGCUCCGCGUCUUCUUCAUGCUGAGGAUGCCCGAGCGGUGCCCCCGCAGCAGCGCAGCACGGGCCGGGCCUCGCGGCGCUCCCG